Molecule: ribosomal RNA, 997 nt
Filed under: Jaera praehirsuta
Lineage: Eukaryota; Metazoa; Arthropoda; Malacostraca; Isopoda; Janiridae
Description: partial 28S ribosomal RNA
Rfam family: Eukaryotic large subunit ribosomal RNA
Source: RNAcentral
CUUUGUUGGGAUGCCACGUAUGGGAAAAUAUCGUUUAAGAGUAACCUACCCUGUAAUCCAAACUCGUCUAGUGAGAAAUUAGACCAUAGAGGGUAAUAGCCCCGUAGGACAGGAAAAGUAAACAGGUAGGACUCGAAAUUGAUAUUUUCUCUUGAGUCAGGUUAUUUGAGAAUAUAGCCUAAAGAGGAGGUAUAUUCCUUCUAAAGCUAAAUAUAACUGUGAGACCGAUAGUGAACAAGUACCAUGAGGGAAAGUUGAAAAGAACACUGAAAAGAGAGUUCAAUAGAACGUGAAGCUGUUACUGGGUAAUAAAACGGAUACAGUAGAGUACGUCGAACGAGUAGCUAGCAGAAAGCGUGGUCGAAAGAUUGCGUCUUGCUCAAUGAAAGUACCCUUAGAGAAAGAUGGUAAAGUCAACGCGCUUUAUCAGAUCACUCUAAUCGAGAAAUCGCCGAGCCGUUGCAGCUUGCUUUUGUAGACCCUCACACGGAUUGUUAAGUUGACUAAGGCUUGAUUGUUGAGAAAGUUCCAAAUAUGUGCUGUUUCUAUUUAUUUAGAAGCUAUUGUUUGAAGUACGUAUGGAACUUUAAUCUUUCUUGAAUUUACUGUCGGACUUGACGAUUCGCUAAAAUAUAAUAUAGAUCUGUCAUGUGAUAAAUAUUAUAUGUGUUGCCUUCGCUCAUUACCUAUCCGUCCCGUCUUGAAACACGGACCAAGGAGUCUAACAUAUACGCGAGUUAACGGGUCUAUUAAACCUUACUAGCGUAAAGAAAUUAAUUUUAUUGGAUAGAUCCUGAAAUCUUUGAUUUCGGGCGCACAUCCGAGGAUCGUUCUAUCAUUGUAAAUUGAUAAUUUAUUAUUUUUUUGCAAGGAAUGAUUACUUUGAGCGUAUAUGUUGGUACCCGAAAGAUGGUGAUCUAUACUUGAUCAGGGUGAAGCCAGAGGAAACUCUGGUGGAAGCUCGUAGCGAUUCUGACGUGCAAAUCGAUCGUCAGAA